This is a long non-coding RNA of Carlito syrichta (Philippine tarsier), 739 nucleotides long. RefSeq lists it as uncharacterized. NCBI's taxonomy places the organism in Eukaryota, Metazoa, Chordata, Mammalia, Primates, Tarsiidae. The record is from RefSeq and is a predicted model, not a curated record. The transcript has 3 exons.
ACUGGCAACAUUUAUGCGCUAAAUGAUGCCAGAGGAAGUAAAAUGUUCCUCAAGAGGGAAAAAGCCAUCUGCUCCUGGGCCAGCUUCAUGCUUAUAAUUGUCACCAAUAAUGACUAGAUAAGAAGGAAAUGAGAAAUUACCUUGCUGACGGAAGAUGGAGACAUCAACAGGGUCUUGUUUUGCUGGCUCUGAGGGCUACAACUUCAGAGGCUAACGUUUCUCAGGGAUGUUAAGAUGCCUUAACACUUUGAAAAACUUGAAUCUGUUCCUAGUUGAACAAUAAGAACCUACCUUGUCCAUCCAGGAAGGAGAUCCUCUCCAUGAUGCAACGGAGACUGUGGAGUCAGUGGUGAGGCAAGGAAGGGCAGAAGGAAAAAGACUAAAGGCAAGGCGAAAGGAGAAGAGACGGUAGUGCAGACUUCAAAGAGACUGCCAGUUGCACUGCAAACCAUCCACCAAAGCUCGUUGCUGUGGCCUCCCUGGGAAGACAAAUGUUUUGUCUCAUCUGAAUCCACCUAAGAAGAUGCAUAUACAAAGACAAUACCCUUCCCAAACAUCUCUGAGCCCAGGAAACAAGUGUCCUGUCUUCUAAUUCCAACCUCUCCACUUUUCCCACUGUUCCAAUGUUAAUACCUCAUCAUUGUUAGUCCCUGUUCCUCUUCCUUCUCCACCCUCUUUCUACCCUUGUUAUCCGUUGGAUCUUUUAAGGCUAAAGAAAAAUAAAAGAAAAUAAAGGCUA